AAAGUUGGAACACACUCAAGGGACUACAACUUUUAUUAAAGGUCUGACUUGAGGUUAGAUAUAAAAUUGUGAGAUUCUAGGCUGCAAAGUUGAAGAAAAACCUGAAUUCCAGGACUUAGGUCAUUUGUAGGGUUUUAAUAUACUCCUGGUUUGAUUCUUGAUUUUGACCUUCUCCCACUCUGAAUUAGCCAAAAUGUUAUUAACAAAAGUUGUUUGAAAUUAAAAGUUUUAUAGCUCUUAGUUGGGCAAAAUUUUAUGUUUGUAUAUAAAAACUCAAGUUUUAUGUUUAACUCCAAAACGAGCUUUUUAGGGGCAAAAUGGACAUUUCACCUCUUUUACUCAGUGACUAAUGACUUGUUUAAGUUUAAUUACACCUAACUAAGGUAGAG
RNAcentral lists this long non-coding RNA (389 nucleotides) under Setaria viridis. Its description in RNAcentral is "long non-coding RNA (SVIR_LNC010694)". The record is from RNAcentral. Lineage: Eukaryota; Viridiplantae; Streptophyta; Magnoliopsida; Poales; Poaceae.